RNAcentral lists this ribosomal RNA (253 nucleotides) under uncultured bacterium. Its description in RNAcentral is "partial 16S ribosomal RNA". It matches the Rfam family "Bacterial small subunit ribosomal RNA", at positions 524 to 776 of the family's 1533-position model. The record is from RNAcentral.
UACGUAGGGACCGAGCGUUGUCCGGAAUCAUUGGGCGUAAAGAGCGUGUAGGCGGCCAAUUAAGUCCUGCGUGAAAUCUCGGGGCUCAACCCCGAGCGGUCGUGGGAAACUGGUUGGCUAGAGUGCGGGAGAGGAGAGUGGAAUUCCUGGUGUAGCGGUGAAAUGCGCAGAUAUCAGGAAGAACACCCGUGGCGAAGGCGGCUCUCUGGAACGCAACUGACGCUGAGACGCGAAAGCGUGGGGAGCGAACAGG